ACGGAAGGCAGCAGUGGGGAAUAUUGCACAAUGGGGGAAACCCUGAUGCAGCGACGCCGCGUGAAGGAUGAAGUAUUUCGGUAUGUAAACUUCUAUCAGCAAGGAAGAUAAUGACGGUACUUGACUAAGAAGCCCCGGCUAACUACGUGCCAGCAGCCGCGGUAAUACGUAGGGGGCAAGCGUUAUCCGGAUUUACUGGGUGUAAAGGGAGCGUAGACGGUACGGCAAGUCAGAUGUGAAAGCCCGGGGCUCAACCCCGUGGAUUGCAUUUGAAACUGUCGAACUAGAGUGCAGGAGAGGUAAGUGGAAUUCCUAGUGUAGCGGUGAAAUGCGUAGAUAUUAGGAGGAACACCAGUGGCGAAGGCGGCUUACUGGACUGUAACUGACGUUGAGGCUCGAAAGCGUGGGGAGCAAACAGGAUUAGAUACCCUGGUA
This 435-nucleotide ribosomal RNA is filed under the name uncultured Anaerostipes sp. RNAcentral's name for it is "partial 16S ribosomal RNA". It matches the Rfam family "Bacterial small subunit ribosomal RNA", at positions 341 to 792 of the family's 1533-position model. Lineage: Bacteria; Bacillati; Bacillota; Clostridia; Lachnospirales; Lachnospiraceae. The record is from RNAcentral.